Molecule: ribosomal RNA, 1800 nt
Filed under: Triticum aestivum (bread wheat)
Lineage: Eukaryota; Viridiplantae; Streptophyta; Magnoliopsida; Poales; Poaceae
Description: partial small subunit ribosomal RNA
Source: RNAcentral
AUGGCCGCGGAGGCUGCCUCGGCCCCGUCGUCCUCCUCCCACCCGCCCGCCGCGUUCCCGGCUACGCGCCAGGAAAUCCAGGCGGCCAUCGCCAAAGCCACGGAGCUGCGCGCGCUCCACGCCGCGCUCCUGCAGGGCGGCGGCGCCAAUGCCGCCGCGUGUGCCGCCUACGCUGACGCCGGCGCCGGCGCUGGACGCAGCCCCGCCGUCAUCCGCGUGCCGCCCGCCGCGUCGCCGGCGUUCCCCAGGGCCGCUGCCGUCGCCGAGGACUACCCCGUCUUCACCCCGGCUUAUGGUGAAGAGCCUUUGGGUGGAAUGAACUACAUUCGCCAAGACAACCGGAGCCUAUCUGAGAACUGGAGCGGAAUCGGUCUAGACCAUGAAGGUGCUGAAGAUGAGGUGGCCUUCUCGGAUCUCGACAAUCACAACACCUUCUCUUCAUCAAACAGCGAGCUCCAUUUCUCUUCAUCAAAUGAGCAUAUGCGGAACAGAAUCCCUCGUAGAAACCAUCAUUCCUUCCUUCAUCCUGCUCUCUCCGCUGACAGUUUCCUCAAGUCGGCCAGCAGGGGAACAGAUUCAGCAGAAUCGAAGGCCACGACCACGUGCAACACUUGCAAGCCUGCGACAAUCAGCAGGGACCCUGAAGCUGAUGCCAAUGCUCCGAAGAACCUCAGCAGUGCUGUGCCACAGUCGAACCACCACCCCUCUGUCGGCUCGCGUACAAGGCAAAAAGGAACAAACGUGCUCUCAUGGCUGUUACCCAAGUCGAAGAGGAAGACGAAAUCGGACAUGUCACCGAGCACUGCCGAAUGUGAGAACAUGUCGCAGCUUCUCAAGGAGUGGGGGGUGUUUUCAGUAGAAUCUCUGAAGAAGGAGCUUGCGGAGGCCAAUGAGCAUAGGGACGCUGCUCUUCAAGAAGUUGGAGAGAUGAGAUCAUCUUUGGGAGAACUAACUAGCAAGCUGCUGAGCUUGGAAGCGUAUUCCAUAGAACUGAAGAAGGCUCUAAAGAAAGCAACAAGCACGAAAAACGCGCAAUCUCACUCGAAGAGGUCAGCAAGGUCAGUGGGUGUCAGCAGGGACGAUUCAUUGCCCGUCAGCCAGGAAGUAAUGGUGGAAGGGUUCUUGCAGAUAGUAUCGGAAGCCCGUCUCUCCAUCAAACAGUUCUGCAAGGUGCUGCUCCAGCAAGUCGAAGACGCCGACAAUGGGCUGGCAGAUAAGCUGAACUUGCUCCUGCAGCCAUAUCAACUGACACUCGCCGACAAGCACUCGAAAGUGAUACUGUAUCAUCUGGAAGCUCUCAUGAACCAAGCGAUGUACCAAGACUUCGAGAACUGCACGUUCCAGAAGAACGGGUCGCCCAGGUGCUUCGACCCAAAGCAGGACCUCCAGGAGAACUUCGCGUCGUUCGUCGCGCUGCGCAACCUGAGCUGGAACGAGGUCCUGAAGAAGGGCACCAAGUACUACUGCGAGGACUUCAGCCGCUUCUGCGACCAGAAGAUGAGCUGCAUCGUGUCCACGCUGAGCUGGUCGUGGCCGUGGGCCGAGCAGCUGCUGCAGUGCUUCUUCGUGGCCGCGAAGUGCAUCUGGCUGCUCCACCUUCUGGCCUUCUCUUUCAGCCCGCCGCUGAUGGUGCUGCGGGUUGAGGAGAACCGGGCCUUCGACCCGAUGUACAUGGAGGAGAUCCAGGUCGAGAGGCAACGGUCGCAGCAGAACCUGUCUCGGGUGAAGAUCAUGGCGAUGCCCGGGUUCUACGUCCAAGACCGGGUGCUGAAAUGCAGGGUGAUCUGCAGAUAUAGCUAG